UUCAAGGAAACCCUAAAUAAGAAGCCGCCGGAUCACCGAGAAGCUGCAGGCUUGGAAGCAAUGGGUAUCGAUCUCACUGCCGGUGGCAGGAGCAAGAAGACGAAGCGCACGGCACCCAAGAGUGAUGAUGUUUAUCUCAAGCUUCUAGUAAAGCUAUACAGGUUUCUGGUAAGGAGGACGGGGAGCAAGUU
Long non-coding RNA from Phalaenopsis equestris, 191 nucleotides. RefSeq lists it as uncharacterized. Lineage: Eukaryota; Viridiplantae; Streptophyta; Magnoliopsida; Asparagales; Orchidaceae. The transcript is spliced from 3 exons. The record is from RefSeq and is a predicted model, not a curated record.